Molecule: ribosomal RNA, 702 nt
Filed under: uncultured bacterium
Lineage: Bacteria
Description: bacterial SSU rRNA
Rfam family: Bacterial small subunit ribosomal RNA
Source: RNAcentral
AACGAACGCUGGCGGCAGGCUUAACACAUGCAAGUCGAGCGAAGACUUCAGUCUUAGCGGCGGACGGGUGAGUAACGCGAGAGAAUAUGCCCUUUGCUACGGAAUAGUCCUGGGAAACUGGGGGUAAUACCGUAUGUGCCCUUCGGGGGAAAGAUUUAUCGGCAAAGGAUUAGCCCGCGUUGGAUUAGGUAGUUGGUGGGGUAAUGGCCUACCAAGCCGACGAUCCAUAGCUGGUUUGAGAGGAUGAUCAGCCACACUGGGACUGAGACACGGCCCAGACUCCUACGGGAGGCAGCAGAGGGGAAUCUUAGACAAUGGGGGCAACCCUGAUCUAGCCAUGCCGCGUGAGUGAUGAAGGCCUUAGGGUUGUAAAGCUCUUUCAGCUGGGAAGAUAAUGACGGUACCAGCAGAAGAAGCCCCGGCUAACUCCGUGCCAGCAGCCGCGGUAAUACGGAGGGGGCUAGCGUUGUUCGGAAUUACUGGGCGUAAAGCGCACGUAGGCGGACCAGCAAGUUAGGGGUGAAAUCCCGGGGCUCAACCUCGGAACUGCCUUUAAAACUGUUGGUCUGGAGUUCGAGAGAGGUGAGUGGAAUACCGAGUGUAGAGGUGAAAUUCGUAGAAAUUCGGUGGAACACCAGUGGCGAAGGCGGCUCACUGGCUCGAUACUGACGCUGAGGUGCGAAAGCGUGGGGAGCAAACAGG